This 2791-nucleotide long non-coding RNA is filed under the name Homo sapiens (human). Its description in RNAcentral is "non-protein coding lnc-OSBPL9-1:6". Lineage: Eukaryota; Metazoa; Chordata; Mammalia; Primates; Hominidae. The record is from RNAcentral.
GAGAAGCACAAGGACUGGACUUUGACAGGAAGCAACGAGGCAAGAGGGAAGCUCGAGAACAGAAGCACCUCCAAGGAUCACGUAGGACCAGCAGAAGCAGCGUAAAGUAUUGGAACUUUGAAUCUGACAUCAGAAAGACCUGCACUCAGCCGGGCACGGUGGCUCACGAUUGUAAUCCCAGGCCGAGGCGGUGGAUCACUUGAGAUUCACUGAUUCUAGGUAAAUCAGAGGAACAAGCAACAUGAACAGAAAAAAUGUAGAAAAUGCAAUUAUGCUGAAGUACAAUUGUUGUUUCAGAAGUCCAGCAUCUGGUGUACUUAACAAUAGAGAAUAUAUUAAAUUUUUCCAAAAUAAAAAAAACAAGUAGGAGACUCGCUAGUGAAAAUUAAAUGGCAUAUGCAAAGUCUUUAAUACAGCAUUUGGUACAUGAGAGGGACUCAGUAAAUUUUAGUAACUUAUAAUUAUUAGGAAGACUAUGACUGCCCCCAUUUAAAAGAUCAGCAGUCUGAGGCUUAUAAAGACCAAGACUUAUUCAAGUCUUGUGAUUUCCAGCCUGAGGCUCUUUCUACUUUGUGAAAACUGAGAGACUGUGGCUCAGUGGCUCUGAGCUCAGAGGGCUUUACCUGCCAAAGGUCCAGGCUGAGAACACUAAUGUUAUAAUAGUGACAAAUGGUGGCGUCAGGCUUAUAUUUAGGGUUGUCUAUUUUGGGAUGAAUCUACUCCCCCUGGUAAUUGGGAUUUUCAAUGAUCCAAGGUUUCCAUUCUCCCUAAGCAAAGAACCAGUGAACAAGGCAUUAGUAUUUUGUCAUUCUUCUGAUCUCAUGCAAUCAGAAAGGCCAAUUGAUAUGGUUUGGAUCUGUGUCCCCACCCAAAUCUCAUGUCAAAUUGUAAUCCCCAGUGUUGGAGGUGAGGCCUGGUGGGAGGUGAUUGGAUCAUGGGGGCAGAGUUCUCAUAAAUGGUUUAGCACGAUCCCCCCUUGGUACUGCAUAGUGAGUGAGUUAUCAUGAUAUCUGGUUACUUUUAAAUUGUGUAGCACCUCCCCCCUUUCUCUCUUGCUCCUGCUCCCACCGUGUGAGAAACCCUGCCAUCACUUUCCGCCAUCACAGUGGACACCUGAGGCCUCCCCAGAAGCUGAUGCUGCCAUGCUUUCUGUAUAGCUAUAGCCUGCAGACCCAUGAGCCAAUUAAGCCUCUUUUCUUUAUAAAUUACCCAGUCUCAGGUAUUUCUUUAUAGCAAUGCAAGAAUGGACUAAUACACCAAUUGAUUUAUGAGGCAGUUGUGUAUUAGACAUAAGGAUUCAGAGAAGGAUUCCAGGAGCUUCUUUCCCUUUCUUUGAGUUAAUGCACAAGAUUCUUUCAAAUUCCCCUUGCUACCCAGAGGAAGCCAAGCGAGGUGGCAGGGACCCAUUCUGAGCUUGGCCCCAUGUCUGCACCAGCUCAUUCAUGAAAUAAAGAAAAUGUAGCUUCUCAGAGAAUAUCAUCUGAGUAUCCUGGCAGUUGAGGCCGUUCUCUUCCUGGUGUGUAGUGUAGGAAACUGUGGCCAAAUAAAAUCAUGCUUGCUUCAGUCAGUUUUACCUCUGGACAAUUUGACACUGAUUCCUUUCGUUCUUCUUGCUUCUAACAUGAGGUCAGGAGUUAGCUCUUAAAAAUAAGUGUCCCUUGGCUGGGUGCAGUGGUUCACUCCUGUAAUCCUAGCACUUUGGGAGGCAAAGGCAGGCGGAUCGCUUGAGGUCAGGAAUUCAAAACCAGCCUGGCCAAUAGAGUGAAACCGCGUCUCUACUGCAAAUACAAAAAAUUAGCCAGGCGUGGUGGCACGUGCCUGUAGUCCCAGCUACUCGGGAGGCUGAGGCAUGAGAAUCUCUUGAGCCCAGGAGGUGGAGGUUGCAGUAAGCCGAGAUCACGUCACUGCACUGCAGCCUGGGUGACAGAGCAACGCUCUGUCUCAAAAUAAAUGAAUAAAUAAAUAAAAUAAAAAGUGUCCCUACCCCUUGCAUUUUUGGCUCAUUCAUGGACACCCUUUCUCCUUCUGGCCUGUUUCUAAGACUUCCAGUUCCUGACCCCAAACCCAUGUCCUAUUUUGACCACAUUCCUGUGACUGGCUGCUUUCCACCACUCUGGACAAACUCCAGGCCCAGGGCUGCCUGGCCCUAUACCUGUCAAAGUUGGCCUUUACCAGCCCACCCCGUCCAACGUAGGCAUAGCCCUGUGAGCAGGGCUCAGAUGAGGGUACAGUCUUAUUUGCGGGGUUUAGGGGAAGGGAAGAUGACCACAGGAUCUCAGAAUUUCUGUUUCAUCAAUUAGCGUUGACAUGUCUUUUGUCUCAUUUCUCACACCCAUUGGAAAGAGAGACCCCCCUCACCUUAUACUUCGGAUUUGGCAUCAGAGGCCUUUCCCACUCCCCAUCCAUAGCCUCCUUCCAGUUAUCUGGCUUCUUGGCUUCUGGAUCCAGGAUGUAUUCAAAGUCUUCCCAGUACUAAAAUGAAAUGUUCCUUCAUGAGGAUAGAUGCGUAGGCUGAGAAAAAACUGGGGUCCAGGCUGGGCGUGGUGGCUCACAUCUAUAAUCCUAGCACUUUGGAGGCCAACGUGGGAGGACUGCUUGAGCCCAGGAGUUCAAGACCGGCCUGGGCAAUAUAGUGAGACCCCAUCCCUACCCCAAAGAACUUUAAAAAUUAGGCAAGUGUGGUGGCAUGCACCUGGUGGGAGGAUCUGAGCCCAGGAGGCAGAGGUCACAGUGAGCCAUGAUCAUGCCAUUGCACUCUAGCCUGGGUGACAGAGCGAGAUCAUCUCAAAAA